AGUAAUACAUCGGAACGUGUCCCGUAGUGGGGGAUAGCCCGGCGAAAGCCGGAUUAAUACCGCAUAUGCUCUACGGAGGAAAGUGGGGGACUCGCAAGGGCCUCACGCUAUGGGAGCGGCCGAUGUCCGAUUAGCUUGUUGGCGGGGUAAUGGCCCCACCAAGGCGACGAUCGGUAGCUGGUCUGAGAGGAUGAUCAGCCACACUGGGACUGAGACACGGCCCAG
This 225-nucleotide ribosomal RNA is filed under the name uncultured bacterium. RNAcentral's name for it is "partial 16S ribosomal RNA". It matches the Rfam family "Bacterial small subunit ribosomal RNA", at positions 109 to 334 of the family's 1533-position model. The record is from RNAcentral.